This 87-nucleotide transfer RNA is filed under the name Micavibrio aeruginosavorus. Its description in RNAcentral is "tRNA-Leu". It matches the Rfam family "tRNA". From Rfam's summary of the family: Transfer RNA (tRNA) molecules are approximately 80 nucleotides in length. Their secondary structure includes four short double-helical elements and three loops (D, anti-codon, and T loops). The record is from RNAcentral. RNAcentral also lists the same sequence under 1 other name. Lineage: Bacteria; Pseudomonadati; Bdellovibrionota; Bdellovibrionia; Bdellovibrionales; Pseudobdellovibrionaceae.
GCCCAAGUGGCGGAAUUGGUAGACGCGCACGGUUCAGGUCCGUGUGACAGAAAUGUCAUGGAAGUUCGAGUCUUCUCUUGGGCACCA